Molecule: long non-coding RNA, 712 nt
Organism: Drosophila miranda
Lineage: Eukaryota; Metazoa; Arthropoda; Insecta; Diptera; Drosophilidae
Exons: 3
Source: RefSeq, a predicted model, not a curated record
GUCGACUACAAUGUACUAGUUCUGCAACUAGUUACGCGGGAAGCGAACGCGGACCAGUCGAAAAAGAACCGAAAAACGAAGCCGCCUUCGGUUUGUUUUUGAAGGCGGCAAAUAACCGCAAUUCCGUGGAGUUACAGUGCCCACUCAGCUAGUUUUUACCGAGCCACGACAUGCAAUAAGCACCGAAAUGGUAAGUUAAUCGUGAUAUUUUACUGUAGUUGCGCUCGUGGAAUGAAAGAGACAAGAAUUUACACAAACAAAAUGCAUUUGUUUUCCUCGUUUGCUUUAUGCGUUGAUUUUGUUCACUUCUGUACAACAUCUAAUCGCUGGAAGAGUCUUUUGUGUAAACAUUUAUUAAAAAAGUGGAAAAGAAUUAAUAAAUAAAUCAAAUUAAUAUAAACAGACUCCGUAAGAGUGAAAGGGAAGCUAACAUUGCAAAGUUAGCGUUGUGCAGGAAAGAUAACAGAUAACAGCAAGGAAAUCGAUUCCAGCUGGCGUUUUGAGCGGCUUAAACUUUAUUUUGAGUGAGGAAAUUGUUCUAGCGUAUAACGUCGAUGGGGUCCAAGGGAAGAAGGCCCUUAGGACCCACAAAGAAUUUUUUGCAGCUUUGCUAGAAUGUAUUUCGCCUGGCGAUGAGCCCCCCGAAAACACUGUGCGGAAGGCAAUGCAAAGGAUGAGGAAAAGGGUUUUUAAGAAGAAGUGUCUUGCCAAA